RNAcentral lists this ribosomal RNA (432 nucleotides) under Aphelochaeta sp. 295 PB. Its description in RNAcentral is "partial 16S ribosomal RNA". It matches the Rfam family "Archaeal large subunit ribosomal RNA", at positions 2036 to 2666 of the family's 2987-position model. Lineage: Eukaryota; Metazoa; Annelida; Polychaeta; Terebellida; Cirratulidae. The record is from RNAcentral.
GCAUAAUCGCCUGCCCUUUAAUUGGGGGCCUGAAUGAAUGGACCCACGCGGGCACCCCUGUCUCAUUAAGACCAAUAGAAAUUAUCCUUCAGGUGAAAAGACCUGAAUAAAAUAGUAAGACAAAAAGACCCUACAGAGCUUAAUCCAACGACCUACUAAAUAUACUACAAGCUAGAUUGCCCCCAAAUAAGUCCUAGAAUUGGUUGGGGCGACAAAGGACCCCCCAAAACGUCCUUCCUUAGACCGACCCCACGUCCCCAAACGACUCAUUAGACUACUUGUUUAAGAGACACUAGCUACCUUAGGGGUAACAGACUAAUAUCCCCCCGAGAGCCCAUAUUGACGGGGGAGCUUGGCACCUCGAUGUUGGCUUAGGGACCCCAGUUUGGUGCAGAAGCUAUACUGGGUGGUUUGUUCAACCAAUAACCCCCU